This is a long non-coding RNA of Canis lupus familiaris (dog), 1513 nucleotides long. RefSeq lists it as uncharacterized. The record is from RefSeq and is a predicted model, not a curated record. NCBI's taxonomy places the organism in Eukaryota, Metazoa, Chordata, Mammalia, Carnivora, Canidae. The transcript has 6 exons.
GGCCAGGAGCGUGCGGGAGGCGUCGCCAGCGCACUUUGCCCGCCGCGGGGCCGCGGGUUCUGGGCCGGGCUGGCUGGCCUUGCCCGCGGGCCCCCAGGGAGGUGAAUCAGGAGGGCGUGACCCUCCCGAGGCCUGCGGCCAGCCAGCCCUUGCCGCGGCUCCGUGGAGACCGGGGACCCUGUCCCAGCCGCCAGAGAAGUGCCAGCCCCUGGUACGGGGCCACAGCUGUACAGUGCAGGACAGAAAUUUGGGGGGGUUUUUUGGGGGUGGGAGAGAACUUGCCGCCUCCCUGCCCCGCCCCAGGCGCCCAGCAGGGCCGGGCUCCGGGUCGGAACCCUGCGGUCGUGACUCAUGGUCACGAGUGAGGAUCCAGAGUGGGCCUCUAACCCGCAGAGCCGCCCGGGCCCCCGGGGCAGAGAUUUUAAGUGAGCAAACUCCGUCCAGACUCUGCAGCCUGCUGAGCCACGUGGCAUUAAACUCCAGGGCACUGACCGUGAACCGCACAGCACAGGAGAUCCACGUUUGCCAUCUUGGAGCGGGGACAGGGCUCAGGCCAGGGUUCUCAACAUGGACACUAUUAACAUCUGAGCUGAAUAAUUCUGGGUUGUGCUCUGACACUGUAGAGCGGUCAACAGCAUCCCUGACCUCUCUCUCCACCACAUGCGGGUAGCAAACCCCAUCAUCCCUCUCCCAGUUGUGACUGUUUUAUCUUUGGAGCAGCGAAACAUAAAGGAGUACCCACAGCGAACAAGCUUCAGAGCAGCGGAGCAAUCUGAAAGACUGCCUCCUGGACUAUCGUCCUCAGUAAGACAAUGAAUAAAGCAUUUACUAACCUACUUUGAGCAGUUGAGCUGGAUGCCAAGGGAGACUGUGUUUGCAGUAUUCAGCAGUGGGGGGAUCUGUUUCAAAGCUCCCAGUGGAUGCCUGAAACUGCCUCAUCCCAAACCCCAGGUCAACAGUUACCUUCGUGAAGGCAGGACAACCACCACAGUGAGUGGGACUCAAGAUGAAGAGACAGGUGGAGACCGCUGUCUUCAGAUACUCUUUGAAGAAACUUCAAGGUGAGGACUAAGAGGGCUGGAGCCGGAGGUCAGCUGGAAGGACGUGUUUCAAGGACUGAGCAGAGGCCGUCUUUAAUCCAAGGGCUCAGGUGACAUUUGCACUUUCCAGCCCCGACAUGUUAACCUAGCACCCGAAAGACAAGGUGUCCCUAGGAAGAGGCGCCAUAGGAAGGGCCCAGAAGUAGGGGCUCAGAGCUGGUUCAUCUACCGUGUGAAUGGAUCUACCUGAAGUCCAGAGGUGUUUUCCAGAAUCCAUGUUUCAGUUAUUUUAUUUCAUUCAUUUUAUUUUUCACAUACUUCUUUUGAAAUCAUGCUCUCUUAUUUAAAAUCUGAGUUAGGGAUCCCUGGGUGGUGCAGCGGUUUAGCGCCUGCCUUUGGCCCAGGGCGCGAUCCUGGAGACCCGGGAUCGAAUCCCACAUCGGGCUCCCGGUGCAUGGAGCCUGCUUCUCCCU